This 253-nucleotide ribosomal RNA is filed under the name uncultured bacterium. RNAcentral's name for it is "partial 16S ribosomal RNA". It matches the Rfam family "Bacterial small subunit ribosomal RNA", at positions 524 to 776 of the family's 1533-position model. The record is from RNAcentral.
UACGUAGGGUGCGAGCGUUGCCCGGAUUUAUUGGGCGUAAAGGGCGCGCAGGCGGUUCGGCACGUCCGUUGUGAAAUCGCUCGGCUCAACUGGGCGGGGUCAGCGGAUACGGUCGAACUUGAGCAAGCUAGGGGGCAAUGGAAUUCCCGGUGUAGUGGUGGAAUGCGUAGAUAUCGGGAGGAACACCAGUGGCGAAGGCGGCGAUCUGGGAAGAUACUGACGCUGAGGUGCGAAAGCGUGGGGAGCAAACAGG